This 431-nucleotide ribosomal RNA is filed under the name uncultured bacterium. Its description in RNAcentral is "bacterial SSU rRNA". It matches the Rfam family "Bacterial small subunit ribosomal RNA", at positions 354 to 777 of the family's 1533-position model. The record is from RNAcentral.
GUGGGGAAUCUUCCGCAAUGGACGAAAGUCUGACGGAGCAACGCCGCGUGAGUGAUGACGGCCUUCGGGUUGUAAAGCUCUGUUAAUCGGGACGAAAGGCCUUCUUGCGAAUAGUGAGAAGGAUUGACGGUACCGGAAUAGAAAGCCACGGCUAACUACGUGCCAGCAGCCGCGGUAAUACGUAGGUGGCAAGCGUUGUCCGGAAUUAUUGGGCGUAAAGCGCGCGCAGGCGGAUAGGUCAGUCUGUCUUAAAAGUUCGGGGCUUAACCCCGUGAUGGGAUGGAAACUGCCAAUCUAGAGUAUCGGAGAGGAAAGUGGAAUUCCUAGUGUAGCGGUGAAAUGCGUAGAUAUUAGGAAGAACACCAGUGGCGAAGGCGACUUUCUGGACGAAAACUGACGCUGAGGCGCGAAAGCCAGGGGAGCGAACGGGA